UACAGAGGUCUCAAGCGUUGUUCGGAUUCAUUGGGCGUAAAGGGUGCGUAGGUGGCGCGGUAAGUCGGGUGUGAAAUCUCGGAGCUUAACUCCGAAAUUGCAUUCGAUACUGCCGUGCUUGAGGACUGGAGAGGAGACUGGAAUUCAUGGUGUAGCAGUGAAAUGCGUAGAGAUCAUGAGGAAGACCAGUGGCGAAGGCGGGUCUCUGGACAGUUCCUGACACUGAGGCACGAAGGUCAGGGGAGCAAACGGG
Molecule: ribosomal RNA, 253 nt
Filed under: uncultured bacterium
Lineage: Bacteria
Description: partial 16S ribosomal RNA
Rfam family: Bacterial small subunit ribosomal RNA
Source: RNAcentral